AUUUUGGCCUUUUUUUGUUGUCCUUGUUGGAUUUCUACCAGAUAUUUGAAUAUUCUCUUGCAUGUUUUAACUCUUAAAGAUUAGAUUCGUAGACACCAUAUUAAAGCUAUACAAAUAUUUUUGUUUUAUCUGACCUACAUGAGUACAAAUUAGCAAUCAUGCUGUUUUCCUCUAAAAUGUAUUGUGGAAAAUUCCUGGUGUUCAGUUUAUUUCACCUGAUUUUUUUUAAUAGAUAACAUGGCAUUGUUGUGUGACUUCUGAUACAGUUUAUUUUGACUAAUGAAUUUUGAAUUAUCAACCUACAAUUUUUAGUUUACCACUUAUCUCUUACAGAAGCAAGGGAUUCCCUACCCCUAGAUUUUUAGUAACACCUUAAAAAUGUAUUGAAAACAAAAAUUAAGUUACAUGUCAUAAUCUCAGAAGUAGACAUACAGAUAUACCUGUCAACAUUUUUUCUCAUUAUAAACCAAUUUCAACUCACAUCAGAGUUAUAAUUUCAAAGCCAGACAUGAUACUGGUUUAAAAUGAAUGUUAUGUUUUUAAUGUUUCUUCUCUCCCCAAAAAGCAGCAAUAGUAGUAGAUUUAACAAUACCAUAGACUCAUGACUAUGAAAUCGUGGCUAUUUGUGUUAACAUGUUGUUCCUGUUGUUGAUGUGAUACAAAGCUCCUGCAAAACAGCUGGCACAGUCCAGUGCACUGGCUUCCCUCACUGGACUCGGUAAGUGUUUUCCAUAUUUGUGAGAGGGCCUAAAGGGAAAAAUCACACAUACAUUGUCUCUCUGCGUAUUCUAUUUUGAAACUGUAUUAGUCCUACUCAGUUUAUAAAAACCUAGGUCUUAGGGUUAUGUCAUCCUGUCUAAAAAGGUUUGCCUAUUUUUUUGACUAACGCAUUCACAGUGAGAAAUUUAUAAAUGUGAUGGUUAAUUCAUAGUUUAUUGGGGCAGGUUAUAUUGGAAGAUUUCCUUAUUGCUCCAAUAUAUGCAUUUUAUAUAUAUAUAAUUAUAUAUGAACACCUAUAGUUUGUACUUAAUAAUUCAUAAUUUAGCCAUGAUAGUAUCUAAGCUCACUUUCAGAAUUAUUGCAUACAUGCCUUAGGGAAGAACCUAUCCACUAAUGCUUUUAAUAACUUACAUAGAUUGUGUUGCGGCAAGUCAAGUUUUAAUAUAGAGGAAAGGGUUUAUCUUAUCAUAGUAAAAUAGUAGUGAUGUGUUCAUAAUUUACUAUUUGCAUGGUAUUAUUAUCAAGGCUGUAAAAGCUUGAAUUUGCCUUUUCCACAUCUUCAUUUCAAAUUAAUUUUUGUGAGGACCCAGAGAAGUGGGUAGAACCAAAUGCCCAUGUGGUUUUGUUAUGGUUAUUUAGAUCAUUUCAGGGUGGGGAGUAUUUUCAGCACCAUAAUAUUUCUGUACCAGGGAGAUUAUAGUAUUCUAAUUUUUUUAGGGAAAAAUUGCUUAGCUCUAGGGAUUUCUAAACUUUGAACAAUAAAAGUUAAUUUUAGAAAUACUUUCAGGGUCAUCAUUAAGCUUUAGCGUGGCUUUGUUACUGCCCUGUUAAGUAGUUUUGUUGGUUAGUAUGGACAGUACAGCAAACCCAUUAUGAUUCCUUUACACUGAGAAAAAUAUGAAAUAGUCCAGAAAGAAUAAGAUAUUAAGUAACCUUUGCCUGAAGGUUCUGUGAACUCCUUAAGCGUUUGAAUGUAUACUUCUCCCCACCCCGAAUAAGCGUAUUCUUCUGGGAAAAGGCAAUGAAAAAAGAAAUGAACUUUCUUCUCAGACCUUGAAAAGUUUUUAGUGCAUAGUAUAAUUUUUUUCAUAUGAUAGACUGAGCUUUAUGCACACAGGUGGACUGGGUGGUUAUGGAUCAGGAGACAGUGAAGAUGAGAGGAGUGACAGAGGAUCUGAGUCAUCUGACACUGAUGAUGAAGAAUUACGGCAUCGAAUCCGGCAAAAACAGGAAGCUUUUUGGAGAAAAGAAAAAGAACAGCAGCUAUUACAUGAUAAACAGAUGGAAGAAGAAAAGCAGCAAACAGAAAGGGUUACAAAAGAGAUGAAUGAAUUUAUCCAUAAAGAGCAAAAUAGUUUAUCACUACUAGAAGCAAGAGAAGCAGACGGUGAUGUGGUUAAUGAAAAGAAGAGAACUCCAAAUGAAACCACAUCAGUUUUAGAACCAAAAAAAGAGCAUA
RNAcentral lists this small RNA (2179 nucleotides) under Pan troglodytes (chimpanzee). Its description in RNAcentral is "processed transcript". The record is from RNAcentral. Lineage: Eukaryota; Metazoa; Chordata; Mammalia; Primates; Hominidae.